Long non-coding RNA from Ochotona princeps (American pika), 171 nucleotides. RefSeq lists it as uncharacterized. The record is from RefSeq and is a predicted model, not a curated record. NCBI's taxonomy places the organism in Eukaryota, Metazoa, Chordata, Mammalia, Lagomorpha, Ochotonidae. The transcript is spliced from 3 exons.
GAGGACCAUUCAGACAAUCCAGGUCUCUUCUGAGAAUUGACCUAGGAUUUGGAAUUGUCUCUUGUUCUUGAUACGGGACAGUAAGGAUGAAAUCCCUGAAGUUGUUUUUAAUGGGACAGAAGAUUCAUAAAAUGGUCACAGGCAGAGGUGGAACCAGCUAGAGGUCUGGCU